UACGUAGGGUGCAGGCGUUAAUCGGAAUUACUGGGCGUAAAGCGUGCGCAGGCGGUUUGCUAAGUGAGAUGUGAAAUCCCCGGGCUUAACCUGGGAACUGCGUUUCUAACUGGCAGGCUUGAGUGUGGCAGAGGGGGGUGGAAUUCCACGUGUAGCAGUGAAAUGCGUAGAGAUGUGGAGGAACACCGAUGGCGAAGGCAGCCCCCUGGGCUAACACUGACGCUCAUGCACGAAAGCGUGGGGAGCAAACAGG
RNAcentral lists this ribosomal RNA (253 nucleotides) under uncultured bacterium. Its description in RNAcentral is "partial 16S ribosomal RNA". It matches the Rfam family "Bacterial small subunit ribosomal RNA", at positions 524 to 776 of the family's 1533-position model. The record is from RNAcentral.